UCUAAAGACUAGUUUUUAGGUAACACCUGCCCAGUGAGUUUUUAACGGCCGCGGUAAUUUGACCGUGCUAAGGUAGCAUAAUCAUUUGUCUUUUAAUUGAAGACUGGUAUGAAAGGUGAAACAAGAAAUUUGCUGUCUUAAGAAAAUAAAUUGAAUUUUAUUUUUUAGUGAAAAAGCUAAAAUAAUCUUAUGGGACGAUAAGACCCUAUAGAUCUUUAUUAUUUUAAGUGAUUAAUUUUUAAUUAUAAUUUUAUUGGGGCGAUAAUAAGAAAGAAAUAUCUCUUGAGAUUUAAAAAUAUUAAUAACUAAAUUAGUUUUUGAUCCUAAAGGAUGGAGUAGCAGAGUAAGUUACCUUAGGGAUAACAGCGUAAUAUUUUUUUAGAGUUCUUAUCGAAAAAAAUGUUUGCGACCUCGAUGUU
RNAcentral lists this ribosomal RNA (419 nucleotides) under Lynceus macleayanus. RNAcentral's name for it is "partial 16S ribosomal RNA". It matches the Rfam family "Bacterial large subunit ribosomal RNA", at positions 1831 to 2533 of the family's 2925-position model. Lineage: Eukaryota; Metazoa; Arthropoda; Branchiopoda; Diplostraca; Lynceidae. The record is from RNAcentral.